This is a long non-coding RNA of Gasterosteus aculeatus aculeatus (three-spined stickleback), 5639 nucleotides long. The record is from Ensembl. NCBI's taxonomy places the organism in Eukaryota, Metazoa, Chordata, Actinopteri, Perciformes, Gasterosteidae.
UAGGUGAGGGUAGGAACGUAGAUUGACCGGUAGAUCGAGAGCUUUGCCUUCCGGCUCAGCCUUUUUUUUGUUACAACAGUGCGGUAAAGCAGAGUGCAAUACCGCCCCCGCUGUUCCGAUUCUUUGGCCAAACUCACACUCCAUCUUCCCCUCACUCGUGAACAAGUAGGAGUUGGAGGUCAUCCAAGACAGCCCCCCAACACCCAUUGCUUUUAGCAUCUCUCGACGGAUCUCAUCAAUCCCUGGGGCUUUGCCACUUGGGAGUUGUUUUGACUACCUCAGUGACCUCAAUCACGCAAGAGGGCGUAGUAAUUCAGAAGUUCCUCAAAGUGUUCCUUACACCGGCCGAUAACCUCCUCAGUUGCGGUCAACAGAAUCCCAUCCUUACUCUACAGAGCUUGGAUGGUUCCCCGUUUCCCCUUCCUGAGGUCUACCGAAAGUCCUUCUCCAUAGUUACCCCAAACUCCUCCCAUACUCGCUGCUUUGCCUCCAUCAAUUCAGCAAUGGAAGUUUUGAACAUACACCACUCUGGUUCAAUGUCCCCUAAUUCCACAGGAAUGUGAGAGAAGCUCCGCUGGAGGUGUGAGUUGAAAAUCUUUUGGACCGGGGCCUCCUCCAGACGUUCCCAGUUCACCCGCACUACACGCUUGGGUUUACCAGGUCUGUCCUGAGUCUUCCCCCAUCCUCUGACCCACCUCACCACCAGAGGGUGAUCUGUUGACAGCUCUGCCCCUCUCAUUACCCGAGUGUCCAGAACAUGCAGCCUCAGAUCAGACGAUAAGAACAACAAGAACAAAAUCGAUCAUCGAUCUUUGACAUGUGUUCUAGUACCACGUACACAUAACAUCCUUAUGCCAUUCCCCUCAAUCACGCCUCUCCAGUGAUCUCCAUUGUCUCCCACGUGUGCAUUGAAGUUUCCCAGUAGGGCUAUAGAGUCCCCUACAGGACUCCUUUCAGGGUCUCCAAAAAGGCAGAAUACUCCAAACUGCUGUGUGGUGCAAAUGCACAGACAACAGUCUUUUGUCUAGAGUUUUCCAGCCUGUGGUGUAUGCUGAAAGAAGUGUUGAGAAUAUUCGAAAAACCCGUGCAAUUAUUUUCAAAGAUUUGUACUUUAAUUAAUGUUAAUUAAUUGAGUUUGUAAAUAUCCUGUAUUUUUGUGCAUGAGCAUUUCUGUAUGCUUGUUCAGUUGUCUGCAUCCUUAUCUUUCCAUCUCUCUUCAGGCAUCCUUUACUCUGGUUUAAAAAGAUAUUAAAAACUGCCGAUUCCCUAAGGGUUUCCGAACUGUGCAUCUAAUGCAAAUGAGCCACAUCCAGUUAAAGUGAGAUAACAGCAUUAACAGACAAAAUCAGAAUUUUAAAGACAAAAUCCCUUAAUUUGCUUUAUGCUCCAACACAACGAAGUCUAAAACAACGUUGCAACAUUAUCAGUUUUUUAGCUCUUAAUGUGUAUCAAUCUCUGGUUGUGCUACAACCUGAAAACAAUGCAUAUUUACCUGCUAUGUAAUUUGUUGUAUUUGAAAAUAUAAUAUUUUUUUUGUUAUUUCUCCUAUGUUUGUGCUCACAUACAACAUAUCUCUUUCAAUAAACUUUGGUUUUAUACAGGAAAAAUACAAGUGCAAUGUAACAUUAUGGUAAAAUUGACUAUAUAAACCAAAAAUGUUGUAAAACUUAAUUUUAUUUACAUUGUACCUGAGGAGAUAACACAACUUUGGGGAUUUUGGAAAUGGUUGUUUUUUCUUCAGGAUCAUUUAGACCUCAAGCAAUAGACAUUUGACCUCUUUAAAAUAAUGUUAAUAAAAACUAACCUUGUCAAAUCUGUUUCACUGCCAGAUAUCUCACCUGCUCCUGCGCGUCCAUCAUAAGCUGACAAACACAGUCAAACUCCUCUUUUCUUUAAAUAUAGAUGUUUCAAAGCAAAAUAACAAAACAAAACAGUUAUGGUAAGUGACAAUGAGACAUAGUUUAUGUGGCGCGGAUAUUAAUAAAUUUAGCCUCUUGAUAACCAGGGACUCAAAAUUCUAUUUUCUCAUCUGGUCAUCCUCAGCUCUAUGUUUUACAAAAUUAACAAUUACAAACACCAGGAAGGUGUAAUAUUGUGAUUUAAUGAGAGAAAAACUACAUUCACAACUUCUCAUUAAAUAUAUUUUGCCUCGUUUGAAUAUGACCAAGGGCGGCACGGUGGUGUGGUGGUUAGCACUGUCGCCUCACAGCAAGAAGGUCCUGGGUUCAACUCUGCCCAGUGGCCUUUCUGUGUGCAGUCUGUAUGUUCUCCCUGUGUCUGCGUGGGUUCUCUCCGGGAUCUCCGGCUUCCUCUAAAUUGCCCAUAGGUGUGUGAAUGGUUGUAUGUCUCUGUGUUAGCCCUGCGAUUGGCUGGCGACUGAUCUAAGGUGUACCCUGUCUCUCGCCCGAACUUGGUUGGGAUAGACUCCAGCCCCCCCGCGACCCUGUGUGCAGGAUAAGCGUUUUGACGAUGGAUGAAUAUAACCAAAUUAAACAUAUCAUCAGCCUAUUUUUCUGCUUGUGUUAGAAAUGGCUUUGCUGCAGGAUCAGCUACUUAAGCUUUCUGAAAAAUGUCACAAGCCCUCUUUUUUGUCUCCCAUGUCUGACUUACACUGUGCUAGGAAUAACAGAUGAAAAGGGGAGCAGCCAUCUGAUAGAAGUGAAAUCUCAGGGCAUGAGAUCAUUUAAUGCUUUGCUGUCUCUACUGCAGCGGAAUAAUGAUCAAACACCCACAGAUGUGAAGUACAGUACAUUAAAGCAUGCACACGUGCAUGUGUAAAUAUCGAGGACAGCCGUUAACACUGCAUCUGCUGAGAAGUAUUCAUAAAAAGUUUAAUCGAGGCUGCCACAUAUGAAAAUAGGCAGUUCUGAACCAUGGUGGGUGUCAACUGUGCUGCUUCUCUGUGAAACAACUACCAUUGUGCAAGGAUAGCUUCCUCUAGAUAAGUGCAAAUGCGAAUCAAGUACAUUCAAAUUUUAUUCAGACAGAGAACAAGACAAGCGGAACACUCCGAUCAAGAGCACACACACACCUUUUGCAAUCCCAUUUCUGUGUUGAUCAACGUCUGUGCUCUGCAGGCUCACACCCACCCUCUUACACUAUCUGCAGACUUCACAAUAUAAUUGAUGUCUGAACACCCCCAUAUAGUAUCUCUCCUUCUCUCUUCCCUCUCCCACUUACUCAUAUAAUCUCUACCUACCUCCCCAUCGCAGGUAUUUCCACCCACCCAGACCUUUGGAUCCACAAGAGGCUGCUAUUGCUCAUGGAUGACCUAAAUUCCACACAAGCACACGUAAGGUCAGCUACUUGUUUUUUAACUUAGGCAGUUGUAUUGCCCUUACUUUGAGUGAUGUUACAUCAAUAUUCCGUGGAAAAACAUACAACUUUUAAGCACUUUUUAAAAGCAAUGCAGCAGAUCAAAAGUUAAAACUGGCAUCCAUUUAAAACUUCCUGUUGUUGUUUGGAUAACAGUUAUGAAGUGGUAUGAAUAUAGACCGGGUCCCUCAGGGUUGUAUCAUAGUGUGUGUGGGAAGAUAAAGUUGUUGUGUAAGUGUUAAUGUGUGUGUUUAUAAUUGUUGGCAUAUUAGAAGCUAAUCAGCGACCAUGUGCAAGUCAGUGUUUAGGGGUGUCAAAUUCAUAGCAAAAGGAAAAUCGGCUUUUAUAGUCUCUCGCUCUUAUCAUAGAGUGAUCAAUAACCAAUUAUUUAACACAUACGCUACAUUUGUUCAUAAGGGUUUGUACACAUAUAUUGUCAUGAUUGUUGCUUAGAUGCAUUUCAGUGGAUGGCUCUUUUUUUUGUUUUUCCUUUUCCAAAUUGAGAUUCCAAGGAUUAAGUUAAGAUGUUGUAUGUUUUAAAGAAAAUAAAGCCCUUUAAGGGAAAUCUGUGAUCAAUGACUGAACUAAAUUUGUCUUAACUUGCCUCAUUAUUUGGUGCAUCAUAAGCAUGAAUAAGCCAUUUGGAGCAUUUACCUCAGCGUAGUUGUGGUGCUCGAGUAAGAGAAUUUCAUAUUUUCAUUUAAUUUGACGAUCUGUAAUAUCCGUUGCAGAAGUUGUUUUAGUCCGGCAAAAAGUAGCUGCUGUGAAUGUGGUUUGUUUUUCAGGGCACAAGUAAGAUGAAUGAAUGCUGAAUACAAUUUUUGGUGGACGUUAUUGGUAAUUAUUGGUAAAUUGAUGACGGUGUCAUGGCAUACAUGAAAUUAGUGGUAUGUUAUUUUUCAUUGACAAUUUUAAUAUCCGUUCAGCAUCUGGACUGUACUGAUUGAUUACCGAGCUCCAUACACACACAAGACAUUAUCCCUAACAGGGGCACAAUGCGCAGCAGGACUGUCUCCAUUGAUCGGGCCUGUGGCAAGGCUUUUAAUAACAUCUAAGACAGAGACAAAGCGAAAGCUGAACCGUGCAAACAGAAAUAGCUCUCAUGAGAUGCUGCUCAAAGGUUAAGCUGAUGGUUUGCAGACACGUUGCAACACCCUGAGACCAUUUUUUUUAUCAUCACAAAAAAUAUGUAUUGCUAUAAUUCAAUAAAUAGUAAAGUAAUAGAAAACAUAAUAUUAUCAGUAUGUGUGUUAUUCUACUGAACAAUAAAUCUUCUCUAGUUGUUUGUCCUCUGGAAGGUGAAGAAGAGGAUUCAUUUUUCAUUUCUACAGCACAUUAAAGUAUUUCCACCUCGAUCAACAUGUCUGUUCGAUACUAUUCCCCCGUGUUGACAGGAGGAAAUGAUUGCCAAAAAUACACAUCUUUGAAGCCUGAGUGGGGUAUGUAGUAUUCCCGCAAAAGAGUGUAGACAAGUGUGGUGCUGAGUGCACGCCACAUAUCUCAUAAAUUUGAUCUGAAAGACAACAUAAACAAAUCCAGAAUAUUUUGUUUUGGUUUUGGACCUGCAGCUCUUACACAAGAUCAAAACCCAAUUCAUUAAGCUUUCUGUUUGUACACACUUUUUUGAAUUGGCAACAGUGUUGCAUAUCAAGUGCUUUCAUUACUUGUUAUGCUGGAACUAGAUCCCUGGAGCAAGCUUUUCCAUAUCUGGGAAAAAAGGUAACAGGAUUUGCUUUUAUCUGAGAAAACAGCCAACUGCUCGCCGCUGUACACUGUCACCUAAUCAUCCAACUGAAGGCAAACGUUGUUGUGAAAAAUGUUAUGGAUAACCAGUAUUUGUAUUUGUGUACGGGGUGCUUUUUGUUAUUAUAAUGAGAAUUCUGUUUGCAGUUCUUGGUUACUUGUUUUUUUGAUUGCCCACCUACUCCUGUCCUGAAACAGGGUGACUAUUACAUUACAUUACAUUACAUUACAGGUCAUUUAGCAGACGCUUUUUUAUCCAAAGCGACUUACAUUACACUUUAAACCCAUGGCUUUUUUACAUUUGGCCCAGGGAGCAAUUAGGGGUUAGGUGUCUUGCUCAGGGACACUUCGACUUGAGACAUGGGGCAGACGGGAAUUUUAUUAUUGCUGUCAAGCCCUGCAGUAAACACUUUAAUUUAGAUAAGGGGGCUUUGUAGUUAGUUUUUAUAUUUUUAAUACUCUAGCACUAUUAUAUAAUAUAUUACAUAAUCCCAAUAUCCAAAAGAUUCACAAUAACAGUCUUUUCCUUUGGAAGUUCCCUCACUAUCACAAAUAAGCCAACUUUACACCUCUCACUGAUG